This 574-nucleotide ribosomal RNA is filed under the name uncultured bacterium. Its description in RNAcentral is "bacterial SSU rRNA". It matches the Rfam family "Bacterial small subunit ribosomal RNA", at positions 335 to 919 of the family's 1533-position model. The record is from RNAcentral.
ACUCCUACGGGAGGCAGCAGUGGGGAAUAUUGCACAAUGGGCGCAAGCCUGAUGCAGCGACGCCGCGUGAGGGAUGAAGGCCUUCGGGUUGUAAACCUCUUUCAGUAGGGAAGAAGCGAAAGUGACGGUACCUGCAGAAGAAGCGCCGGCUAACUACGUGCCAGCAGCCGCGGUAAUACGUAGGGCGCAAGCGUUAUCCGGAAUUAUUGGGCGUAAAGAGCUCGUAGGCGGUUUGUCGCGUCUGCCGUGAAAGUCCGGGGCUUAACUCCGGAUCUGCGGUGGGUACGGGCAGACUAGAGUGCAGUAGGGGAGACUGGAAUUCCUGGUGUAGCGGUGAAAUGCGCAGAUAUCAGGAGGAACACCGAUGGCGAAGGCAGGUCUCUGGGCUGUAACUGACGCUGAGGAGCGAAAGCAUGGGGAGCGAACAGGAUUAGAUACCCUGGUAGUCCAUGCCGUAAACGUUGGGCACUAGGUGUGGGGGACAUUCCACGUUUUCCGCGCCGUAGCUAACGCAUUAAGUGCCCCGCCUGGGGAGUACGGCCGCAAGGCUAAAACUCAAAGGAAUUGACGGGGG